CACUGCUAUCGGGGUUCGAUUAAGCCAUGCGAGUCGAGAGGGUUCAGACCCUCGGCGCACUGCUCAGUAACACGUGGAUAACCUACCCUGAGGAGGGGGAUAACCCCGGGAAACUGGGGAUAAUACCUCAUAGGUUUCAGAUGCUGGAAUGCUCUGAAACCGAAAUGCUCCGGCGCCUCAGGAUGGAUCUGCGGCCGAUUAGGUUGUUGUUGGGGUAACGGCCCAACAAGCCCGUCAUCGGUACGGGUUGUGAGAGCAAGAGCCCGGAGAUGGAUUCUGAGACACCAAUCCAGGCCCUACGGGGCGCAGCAGGCGCGAAACCUUUACAAUGCGAGCAAUCGUGAUAAGGGAACCCCGAGUGCCUGAAACCAGGCUGUUCAGGUGUUUAAAAAGCACCUGGAGAAAGGGCCGGGCAAGACCGGUGCCAGCCGCCGCGGUAAUACCGGCGGCUCGAGUGGUGGCCGCUAUUA
RNAcentral lists this ribosomal RNA (470 nucleotides) under uncultured archaeon. RNAcentral's name for it is "bacterial SSU rRNA". It matches the Rfam family "Archaeal small subunit ribosomal RNA", at positions 25 to 503 of the family's 1478-position model. The record is from RNAcentral.